RNAcentral lists this ribosomal RNA (2652 nucleotides) under Campylobacter coli. Its description in RNAcentral is "partial 23S ribosomal RNA". It matches the Rfam family "Bacterial large subunit ribosomal RNA". The record is from RNAcentral. Lineage: Bacteria; Pseudomonadati; Campylobacterota; Epsilonproteobacteria; Campylobacterales; Campylobacteraceae.
GCACUGGGGGUUGUAGGACUGCAAUGUGCAAGAGGUGAGUUUAGCAGAACAUUCUGGAAAGUAUAGCCAUAGAGGGUGAUAGUCCCGUAUGCGAAAAACAAACCUUAGCUAGCAGUAUCCUGAGUAGGGCGGGACACGAGAAAUCCUGUCUGAAGCUGGGUCGACCACGAUCCAACCCUAAAUACUAAUACCAGAUCGAUAGUGCACAAGUACCGUGAGGGAAAGGUGAAAAGAACUGAGGUGAUCAGAGUGAAAUAGAACCUGAAACCAUUUGCUUACAAUCAUUCAGAGCACUAUGUAGCAAUACAGUGUGAUGGACUGCCUUUUGCAUAAUGAGCCUGCGAGUUGUGGUGUCUGGCAAGGUUAAGCAAACGCGAAGCCGUAGCGAAAGCGAGUCUGAAUAGGGCGCUUAGUCAGAUGCUGCAGACCCGAAACGAAGUGAUCUAUCCAUGAGCAAGUUGAAGCUAGUGUAAGAACUAGUGGAGGACUGAACCCAUAGGCGUUGAAAAGCCCCGGGAUGACUUGUGGAUAGGGGUGAAAGGCCAAUCAAACUUCGUGAUAGCUGGUUCUCUCCGAAAUAUAUUUAGGUAUAGCGUUGUGUCGUAAUAUAAGGGGGUAGAGCACUGAAUGGGCUAGGGCAUACACCAAUGUACCAAACCCUAUCAAACUCCGAAUACCUUAUAUGUAAUCACAGCAGUCAGGCGGCGAGUGAUAAAAUCCGUCGUCAAGAGGGAAACAACCCAGACUACCAGCUAAGGUCCCUAAAUCUUACUUAAGUGGAAAACGAUGUGAAGUUACUUAAACAACCAGGAGGUUGGCUUAGAAGCAGCCAUCCUUUAAAGAAAGCGUAAUAGCUCACUGGUCUAGUGAUUUUGCGCGGAAAAUAUAACGGGGCUAAAGUAAGUACCGAAGCUGUAGACUUGAUUUUAUCAAGUGGUAGGAGAGCGUUCUAUUUGCGUCGAAGGUAUACCGGUAAGGAGUGCUGGAGCGAAUAGAAGUGAGCAUGCAGGCAUGAGUAGCGAUAAUUAAUGUGAGAAUCAUUAACGCCGUAAACCCAAGGUUUCCUACGCGAUGCUCGUCAUCGUAGGGUUAGUCGGGUCCUAAGUCGAGUCCGAAAGGGGUAGACGAUGGCAAAUUGGUUAAUAUUCCAAUACCAACAUUAGUGUGCGAUGGAAGGACGCUUAGGGCUAAGGGGGCUAGCGGAUGGAAGUGCUAGUCUAAGGUCGUAGGAGGUUAUACAGGCAAAUCCGUAUAACAAUACUCCGAGAACUGAAAGGCUUUUUGAAGUCUUCGGAUGGAUAGAAGAACCCCUGAUGCCGUCGAGCCAAGAAAAGUUUCUAAGUUUAGCUAAUGUUGCCCGUACCGUAAACCGACACAGGUGGGUGGGAUGAGUAUUCUAAGGCGCGUGGAAGAACUCUCUUUAAGGAACUCUGCAAAAUAGCACCGUAUCUUCGGUAUAAGGUGUGGUUCGCUUCGUAUUAGGAUUUACUCCGAAAGCGAAGAAACUUACAACAAAGAGUCCCUCCCGACUGUUUACCAAAAACACAGCACUCUGCUAACUCGUAAGAGGAUGUAUAGGGUGUGACGCCUGCCCGGUGCUCGAAGGUUAAUUGAUGGGGUUAGCAUUAGCGAAGCUCUUGAUCGAAGCCCGAGUAAACGGCGGCCGUAACUAUAACGGUCCUAAGGUAGCGAAAUUCCUUGUCGGUUAAAUACCGACCUGCAUGAAUGGCGUAACGAGAUGGGAGCUGUCUCAAAGAGGGAUCCAGUGAAAUUGUAGUGGAGGUGAAAAUUCCUCCUUCCCGCGGCAAGACGGAAAGACCCCGUGGACCUUUACUACAGCUUGACACUGCUAUUUGGAUAAGAAUGUGCAGGAUAGGUGGGAGGCUUUGAGUAUAUGACGCCAGUUGUAUAUGAGCCAUUGUUGAGAUACCACUCUUUCUUAUUUGGGUAGCUAACCAGCUUGAGUUAUCCUCAAGUGGGACAAUGUCUGGUGGGUAGUUUGACUGGGGCGGUCGCCUCCCAAAUAAUAACGGAGGCUUACAAAGGUUGGCUCAGAACGGUUGGAAAUCGUUCGUAGAGUAUAAAGGUAUAAGCCAGCUUAACUGCAAGACAUACAAGUCAAGCAGAGACGAAAGUCGGUCUUAGUGAUCCGGUGGUUCUGUGUGGAAGGGCCAUCGCUCAAAGGAUAAAAGGUACCCCGGGGAUAACAGGCUGAUCUCCCCCAAGAGCUCACAUCGACGGGGAGGUUUGGCACCUCGAUGUCGGCUCAUCGCAUCCUGGGGCUGGAGCAGGUCCCAAGGGUAUGGCUGUUCGCCAUUUAAAGCGGUACGCGAGCUGGGUUCAGAACGUCGUGAGACAGUUCGGUCCCUAUCUGCCGUGGGCGUAAGAAGAUUGAAGAGAUUUGACCCUAGUACGAGAGGACCGGGUUGAACAAACCACUGGUGUAGCUGUUGUUCUGCCAAGAGCAUCGCAGCGUAGCUAAGUUUGGAAAGGAUAAACGCUGAAAGCAUCUAAGCGUGAAGCCAACUCUAAGAUGAAUCUUCUCUAAGCUCUCUAGAAGACUACUAGUUUGAUAGGCUGGGUGUGUAAUGGAUGAAAGUCCUUUAGCUGACCAGUACUAAUAGAGCGUUUGGCUUAUCUUUAAUAAAGCAU